RNAcentral lists this transfer RNA (76 nucleotides) under Thermosyntropha tengcongensis. RNAcentral's name for it is "tRNA-Trp". It matches the Rfam family "tRNA". Rfam says of the family: Transfer RNA (tRNA) molecules are approximately 80 nucleotides in length. Their secondary structure includes four short double-helical elements and three loops (D, anti-codon, and T loops). Lineage: Bacteria; Bacillati; Bacillota; Clostridia; Eubacteriales; Syntrophomonadaceae. RNAcentral also lists the same sequence under 3 other names. The record is from RNAcentral.
AGGGGAGUAGCUCAAUUGGCAGAGCAUCGGUCUCCAAAACCGAGGGUUGCGUGUUCGAGUCGCGUCUCCCCUGCCA